Molecule: ribosomal RNA, 660 nt
Filed under: Zoanthus sansibaricus
Lineage: Eukaryota; Metazoa; Cnidaria; Anthozoa; Zoantharia; Zoanthidae
Description: partial large subunit ribosomal RNA
Rfam family: Bacterial large subunit ribosomal RNA
Source: RNAcentral
GGUAUCCUUCUGGCAAGGGUACUGUACUAAACUAACUAAAGUGGGGGAUAGUGAGGGGAUAAAUUUUCUUAAGGAACUCGGCAAAAUCCCAAUGGCCCACCAGGGCAUAUUGGAACACGGGCCUCGACUGUUUACCAAAAACAUAGCCCUCGGCUAAUAUGAAAAUAGAUGUAUAGAGGGUGAUGCCUGCCCAAUGGUUGUAUCUAAAAGCGGUUGAUAAAAGUUGACCUCGUAAGGACAAUUGAAUGGCCGCGGUAACACUGACCGUGAUAAUGUAGCGUAAUCAAUAGCCAAUUAAUUGUUGGCCAGUAUGAAUGGCGCCACGAAGGCCCCACUGUCUUAAGGAAAUUCCCAGUGAAAUUGAAUUCGUAGUGAAGAUGCUACGUCCAAUUUGUUAGACGAAAAGACCCCGUUGAGCUUUACUGGAGCACUUACAUGGCCCCGGCCUUCCCAUGCCUGGGAACCGGCCGAAUUUAAAUGGGCGGCUUAGAUUAUGUGGCAGCCCCCCGCUGGGGCAAAUGAAACACCACUCCCCCAUGUCAAAGGGGCUAACCCCCCCCCCUUGGGGGGACAGUGUAAGUAGGACAGUUUGGUUGGGGCGACCACCUUUUAAAAAGUAACGAAGGUGCGCUUAAGGUGCGCAAUUAAUGACUGAAGCCU